This is a long non-coding RNA of Ornithodoros turicata, 784 nucleotides long. RefSeq lists it as uncharacterized. The transcript is spliced from 4 exons. The record is from RefSeq and is a predicted model, not a curated record. Lineage: Eukaryota; Metazoa; Arthropoda; Arachnida; Ixodida; Argasidae.
UAUACUCCAAGGGCAGGCAGCGUAGCUCGUGCAGCGUCGUCCUGCGCAAUCUGGCGCUUAAGGGCACGCUGCUGCGCUGGCUUUGAUGUUCCAUAUUCCAUAUUCCUUGCAUGGAAAGGACUUGCUUGGGGACCCAGUGGCAGGUCAUCUCCAUUCUGAAGCACGAGAACAUGGCUCAAAAUAAGGGACGAUCAGCAUGGCCCACGUUGAUGUCUUGACAGGUAUCAGGAUUCCAUUCCUCUCAAAGCGCUGCAUUUCCUGGGUCACUCCUUCCUUAAGAGCAAAAGGCAGUGGUCGCGGCUUGAAGAACUUGGCUGUAGCAUCUUGCUGCACAUGAACAGCAACUUCCGGACCCUUGAAGGCCUUCUUUGAAGACUCCGGAAAAUUCGAAUGACAUGCCCGUGGUGUCGGAGAAAGAACAUAAGUCAUGCUGCACGACAGAAAAGUCUAUGCCAAGCGCAUUACUCCAGUCACGUCCAAGUACAGUGGGUGACUCAUCCUCAGAGAAAUACAAUGAUCACUUCACGAAGUGGGUUGAGCUCUAUCCCUGCUGAAGUUGAUGUAUGCCCAGAUCAGGAACCGACUGCUGGAUGUCUUUUCGCAGUUUGGAUUCCCGGACCAGCUCAUCACGGAUAACGUCUCAUACUUCACAAAAUUCGUCGUCAGCCACAUCAGAAGCACAGGUCCGUCUGCGCGCGAAAUCGAAGCAAGGAUGAAGCCUUUUCGCCGCGUGCUGAGCGAGAAGCUGUGUGACCUGCGUAAGAAUAAAACUUGCUGAGUGUGA